This 11881-nucleotide long non-coding RNA is filed under the name Actinidia chinensis (golden kiwifruit). Its description in RNAcentral is "long non-coding RNA (ACHI_LNC007177)". Lineage: Eukaryota; Viridiplantae; Streptophyta; Magnoliopsida; Ericales; Actinidiaceae. The record is from RNAcentral.
UAUAUAUUUUUUUUCUUAUCCCCCGGAUACUUUUAGUUAGGGUUCAGGCCACCCAAAAAUUAUCCGCCUUUAUCCACCUCCAGGGGCAUAAAUUAUCCGGGCGCAUAAAUUAUCCGCCUCCAUAUCCACCAGCCAAACACCGAGAGAAAAAAAUUAUCCGGGGAGAAAAGUUAUCCCCUCCUUAUCCGGUAGCGAAACGGCCCCUUAAGGUAGAAGAAGAAAAAGAACACACUUGUAUUGGUGAGAGAUUGAGAUAGCCUCUUUAAAAGACUUGUUUCGAGUAUUCGUUUAAUUCCUUAGUGAAAACUUUGAUCGUGUGGCUGCACGUAAGUUUCAGCCGAACCAUGUGAAUCGUUUUCCCUCAUGUGUGUGUAUGAUUGUUUUCCUUUCUUUAUUCGUUUAUUCAUAUUCGCUUUAUAUUCUUUUCAUAAUCAAAGUUAUAAAUUAUCUUGUGUUUGUAACGCUUUGGCACAACAAUCACCAUUUAAGCGUAGGGUCCACCUUUAUGUGAGUAUAUUAAGUAAUUAAUGAAAUAUCUUUAGAAUUAUUCUUGAUGUGGGGGUAAAGAUAUUCACAUAUUAAUAAUUCAAGUCCCGCUCCUCGCCAAGGGAAAUGGACCUCCGCCAACAUCUCAAUCCCAUGAAGUCCAUCUCCGCAUUUAAAUGCCAACGCUCUCCUAACCCUCUUUGAUCAAAAGAAAAGGGGUAAACAGUCCACAACGUCUCGCAUGGGACCUCGCCAAGGUUAUCUCACAACUGAACUCGCAGAAGCACCAUCGAGUGCCGUCCAGCUCACACCAAGAGCCAUGGGUACUGUCUCCUCCUCGCCUUUGGGCUGGUACAAUACUUUGGAAUCUCCAAUCUCACCCACCAUAAUCCUUCAGAAUCCUAUCUAUCCAUGCGAAAACUAUCCUUUGGCGAAGAUCUGUCUCCAGUACGACACCACCUAUAAACGGGAUGCCCUCCCAUAUGGCAAUCUCCCCAAUUAUGUCUCCUAAACCCCGAGAUAUCUUUCCAUACUCAUCCUUCCGAGGAUCUCGCCUUGAUCCAUGGACACAGCCCACUACUCCAUCUAUAAAAAGCCGUUCCCCUUAAACAAAGGUAUGCCUCAAUACACUCCACAAUUCUCUUCAGAGCUAUCUAUUGGCUGUCAAAACACCUUGGUCUGAUCUCCACGCCGGAGGAGUUUGAGCGUCCUCGACCCGGCCGUUACUUUUUGUUCGUCUGUGCAGGGUCGCCCUUAAGUAUUCGAGGUCGUGCCGAGGAGACCGAGACAAGAUUGACUGUGGUGCUCGCACCAGUUUGUUACCACAACAGUUUGGCGGUCUAUGGGGAACCGACAGUUCUCUAUGCACCGCGCUAGCCGCAACCUACCAGACAAGUGCUAGUAGCCCCCAGGGUAACAAUCCCAUCCUAUGGCCAAAUACAGCCCAAGUUCCAGAUCUAGAAGGCCCCACCGGAGAUACACGAUAUGGCGGAGCAGAGAGGAUAAUGAACGAGAAUAAGGGUGCCUAAUGAAAACUCCUCGAUGCUGUCAACCCCCCACUUACAGCAGCACCACCCGUCCUUGAUACGAGCGAUAUCGCCACUCGAAUCGUUCAGAGAUCGUUCUCGAAAUAUCAGUGCUGAUCAAGUGGGCGGGGGAGACCCAGCCCAAAGCUCGUCCUUACGUAGAAAAGAGUCCUCAGAAUCUAGUAAAAACUCAACCAGAUGAGAAGGGGGAGGAGUCCUCAUUAAAGACAUCGGAUCAGGGCACGAAACAAAUCGACCUGCAAAAGUUCGAGAUUGGACGCACGGCUCGGACGCCAUCAACACCUGGAGUAGGUGCCCCAGUAAUGUGGACACACUAAUUAAACAGAAAGAGCCGCCGUUCACAGAGAGGAUAUGGGAGGGCCCGAAUUUCAUCAAAGUUCAGCUCCCCGCCCAGCUCGGUAUAUAGAAGGAAAGACAGAGAUGGACCACCUAGACUCGUACAAAGAGCCUAAUGUCGCUCCAGGGUUGUCGGACGAGAAUUAUGUGCAAAAGCGUUCUCCGCCACUUUGAAGGGACGCCAGGUCAUGGUUUCGAAAACUGUCGCCAGGGACCAUUGAUUCUUUUGCGAUCUCAGUUGGACUCUUCGUCGCCAAUUUCAGAGCUGCAAAAAUCGCCAAAAAAGGAAAUGCUUCUCACAUUUCAACCUUCAUCAAAAAGAAAUGCGAGCUUGAAAGAUUUCGUCAAACGAUUCAAUCAGCUAUUUAGAAGUCGAGGAUCCCAGACGACAAAGAAAAUCAUGGCAAUGAUGGAAGGACUCCGACCUGGUCCACUAUUCGACUCCUCUCUCCAAAACGUUCCGAAAAUUUAUCCCCGUCCAGAGUAAGCAGACAGUACAUCGAACAGAGGAGUUGGCCGAUGGUAAACGAAGGCGAAGAGGAAAAGAUGACCAUAAGAGGGGAAAGAGCCUGAUAUGAGGCAGAUUGAUUAUAAGGAGGAGACGAGGUACAAAAGACCUGACCUAGAUCCCAAACGGUCUAGCAAUAGGCGUCCCGCCCCCGCAUCGACCGACUGAGUUUACUGCCACCACUCAACGCCAAGGUCGCCCAGUCCUCGGAAAUAUUAAACACGAAGAAUUCGUACAAAUGGCCCGGAAAGAUCAAAACUGACACCUAAAAGAGGAAUAAGAACAAAUAUUAUGAAUUCCACCGGGACCACGACACAAAUACGAGGACUGUUUUCAACUAAAAGAAACGAUUGCCUGACUUAUUAAAAGGGGUUACCUGAGGAAAUAUGCGCUAAUCGCCCACCGCACCAACUCCCUAGAAGGAAGGUACAGAGACAAUAGACCAACUGUGGGCGAAAACAAACAAUCCACGGAGGUUUCGGACGAGCGGUCUAUUCAAAUUCAUCCAGGAAAAGGCAUGCCAAAGUGCCCAUGACCGGCCGAGAGGAAGUCUACCACCCUCCUCGCAUUCGUUGCUGACAAAACACCCAUCACAUCAGCAAUGAUGAUUUGAGGAAGGCAUGCACUUACCCACGUGAUGCCCUGGUGGUCUAGGCCGUCAUCUCCAAUUUCAAAGUCCAGAGGAUCUUGAUCGACAAUGGGAGCUCGGCGGAUAUCUUGUUCAUCUCAGCGUUUGAAAAAAUGAAAGUGGGCCGGACAAGUUGAACUCCUUCCAUUACACCCCUGAUCGGGUUGGAGGAAAUACGACGCACCCCUCUGGGAUGGAUCAAAACUUACACUAACCCUGGGAAACCGAACCACAUCAGACCACCGUAUGGUAGGAUUUAUCGUGGUAGUUGCCCCUCGCCUUAGUAACGCCAUCCUGGGGCGACUACGCUGGAGAAUCAAGGCGAUUCACUUCUACCUACACCUGAAGAUGAAUUCUCCCACUGACUGGGAUAGGCGAAGUAAAGGGCGAUCAGAAAGUGGCUAGGCAAUGUUGACUCGGCCAUGAAGGUGGAACUUCCAUUCAGUCCGCCAAUGCAAUCACAGAAGCGGGCGUGAACACGGGGCUAUUAAGAGAUGAGAUAGAACAGCUUAUCCUAGAAGACCCCAGAGAGAAACAGGAAUACCAAACCUCUCGAAGAAGUCGUCCCAAUCUCCAUCACCCAAAACUACCCAGACGUCAAGUCAUGACGACAGAGCUCACGAGAAUGCGUAUCACUUAAUCGAUUCUUAAAAAGGAAUUCUGACUGUUUGCAUGGUCACAAGGCCACGUCUCUGGCAUCGACCCAGAGUCACCAUGCAUUAAGUGUUCAACAAGCCUGAAUACUCCCCAAAUCUGCCAGAAACGGAGGAAGUUCGCCCCUGAACGCUGAAAGUUGAAGACGAAUAGCAAAUCAUCAAAGUAAUGUUUUCCGAGAAGCCCAGUAUCCGGAUUGGCUCGCCAAUGUCGAUCGCCCCAAAAAAGGAGGAACAGUGGAGGGUGUGAGUAGAUUCACCGAAUCAACAGACUUGUGCCGAAAGACAGUUUUCCUGCCUAAAAUCGAUUGAUAAUCGACGCACCUCCAAGCAUGAGCUCUUGAGUCUUUAUGGAUGCCUUCUCAGGUUAUCAUCAGAAUCAAAUUGUAUCCUCCUGACAUGAGAAAACUUCCUUUAUCAUGGAACGGGGAGCUAUAUGACUACAAAGUCAUGCCGUUUGGUUUAAGAAACGCCGGGGCAACAUACAGAGACUGGUCAAAAAGAUGUCAAUGCCACAAAUUGGAAAAAACUAUGAAAGUGUACAUAGAUGAAUGCUGGUUAAGAGUAUCCAAGCACACAACCACAUCGCCCCACCUGAAGAAAACAUUCGACAUCUACGGGGUGGACACGAAGAUGUUAAAUCCCCUCUAAAUGUAUCUUUGGAGUGUUUAUAGAAAGUUUAUGGGAUUUCUGUCACCAGCGGGAGUAUUGAGGUUGAACCCGGAUCAAAAUCAAGGCAUUAAUCGCUAAUGAGGAAAACAUUCGUCAUAGGAAUAUCCGUGAAGUACAGCAAUGAACCGGGGCUGAGUUAGCCGCCCUGAACAGAUUUCAUCUCGCCAAAUCAUGCGGACUAAGUGCCUAUCGUUCUUCAAAAUCCUGAGAAAGAGUCCAGACACUUUUAAUGGAGUGAGGAAUCUGAAUAAUGCGUUCCGACAGCUGAAAGAAAUAUCUCGGGCCCCGCCUUAUACUCGGUCUGCCCACCGCCGACGAAGAUCUCUAUGUGUAUUAUCUGACCCGCCACCGCAAAUAAGUGCAGUACAAUUCUGAGAGAAGGUAAAAUCCAAAAAAAACCAUUAUAUUACGUUAGCAAAACUUAAUUGGUGUAGAGCCAGAUAUCCGAGGAUUGAAUAAAGAUCGCCUAUCUCUAUGAUCGCCCGCCAGAAACUUCGUCAUUACUCCAGGCCCAUUCCAUCAAGUGUUGACGAUCAACCACUAAAGCAAGAAAUUUUUCCUCCAACUGAUGGACACGUUGCGGGUAGGAUCCUUGAAAUGGUCCAUCGAGCUAAGUGAGUUCAACAUGAGUACAGCCACGAACGGCAAUAAAAGCCAGCCCUGGCUGAUUUUAUGUCGAUAAAUCCACCCAUGAGAAACUCCACAAUCAGAGACUCCUUCGUUGAGUGCGGGAAUUCCUAAAGAACCAACCUAGAAAAAAGACCUCACCCACUGGAUAUGUCAUUGAUGGCUCUUCUAAACCAGCACGGUGCGGUGCAGGCUCGUCAUCGAGUCCAUCAGGGCGAACAGAUGGAGUACGCCUAAGAAUGGGCGUUUAAAGCACCAACAAUGAAGCCGAGUAGCAAGCCCUCCUCGUCGGACAGUAAGAGUCGCAACAGAGUUGGGAGGCACAUCUUUGGAAGUCUUCAGUGACUGUCACAAUGGUGGUAAAACAAAGGUCCAAGGAGACUUACCUCGUGCAAGGAGCAACAAGAUGUGGAUAGCUUAUUUAGGCGAGGUGAGGCUAUGUCCGCAAAGACAAGGAGUUAAGAUCCACCAGAUUCCGAGACGAUACUAAAAAGGCAGAUGCCUUGGAUAAUCUGGCGUUAACUUUGGAGUUUAUUUCAACAGGUGCAUACUAUGGAAUUUUUAAGCCAGACCAGCAUUCGAAUCGCUAAUCAGGUCAUCCAAGCGGAAGAAAGUCGUGGGGAUGGACGAAAUUAUGCCUAUCUCCAGGAGGUAUCUUGGCCAAAAGAAAAACUCCAGCCGUCGUCUCUAUACAGAUUCUCGCUAUAUUUUGCAUAUUCAACGGAAAUUGUUAAGCAAAAGGUUUUCUCCUCGGGACCCCUCUUGAAAUGUCCUCCGACCAUAAGAAGCAGAGUACGUCUAAAAGAAAUACAUGAGGGCAUCUGGGGCGGGAAACCACUGCCGACAAGGUCGUUAGCUAAGGAAGACAUUCGCCAGGAUAUUUUUGGCCGCUCAUGGAAUGAAUAUGUGGCUACAUAUGUUAAAGAGAUGCGACAAAUGUCAGAGAUUUGCUCCCGUCAUCCAUCUCCCCCACACUGAGAUGGUACGAUGUCAGGCCCCCUUUGCCAUUCUCCCAAUGGGGAAAACAUAACAUACUAACUGGGUCCCCUCCGCGAGCUCCCAUUGCAAAAAAAUUUUUGCAUCGUCGCCAUUAGACUAUUUUACCAAAUGGUAGAAGCCCAACCUCUCGCCAAAAUUACUGAGAAAAAUACCCUAGAAUUUCUAUGAAAACAAACAUCUUGGUGUAGAUACGUAAUCCCAAAGGUAAUCAUCUCGGACAACGCAAGGCAUUUGACAACCGACAGGUUCAUGUUAUUCUCUCGGAUCUCGCCAUCUCCACAUUUCUCUUCACCUCACCCGGUCAUCCGUAGGCUAACGGACAAUUGAAGUAACUAAUGUACCCAUCCUCAGGAUUGAAGGGCGAGGUUAGAAAGAUCAAAAAAGGCGAAUGGCGGAAGACUUACAAGCAUCUCUGGGCUUAUCAUACUACUGUUCGGAUUUCUACAGUGAAACUCCAGACUCCAUGGUCUUCGGAGCUUAAGCAGUCAUACCAGUGGAAUAGGUAAUGCCACUUCAGAACGUUAAACUUUUUGACCAAUGGCCAUCUAGGGGCGAGCCUCAGGGCUCACCUUGAUCUCCUCGAAGAAAAGAGAGAGCGCCGAAUUCUCCAAGCGGCUUAAUAAAAGUCGGACGCCAAAUACUAACUGACACCACAAAGAGUACGCCACGCUCGUAUCCUCUUGGCCUGGUCUUGCGAAGGGUAACCCUAUCCACAAGAGAUCCAACGCGCAGGAAGCUCGGUCCAACAUGGGCAAGGCACUUACAAAGUUAUCAAAGUUUCCAUGCCAGGGACUUGUUUGGCUGAGAUUCUAAAACGGGAAAAGCAACUUCCACAUCCUGGAACCCGACAUUGAAGAAUAUUAUCAAAGUUUUAAAAGGGAAAUUUGAUCCAGUGAUUCUGUUAUUUUUGCGAUUUUAUAUUAUAAUUGGAAAAUUUUUAUGAUUCGCCUAUGGUUCACCUCACCAGUUAUUAAAAGAAUUUAUGUCGCCAAAUUAAAUCGCCGUUUCAUCCAUUAAAGGUAGGCGUCUUGAAUCAUCGUUAUUUAUGUCGCCAAACUCAGGAUACACUCAUUCGUUGUCUAAACGAUAAGGCGCCCUGAUCGCCAUAAACAAAUGUUGCCAAAAUCGUAUUCGCCACUCCCUUAACAAUGGUAAUUUGAAUCGCACUGGACUUAUCGCCUCAUAGCCGUUCGCCCUAGACGGAUGAGAGUUUAAUUUACUUGUAACAAAAAUAACCAAACUAUAUAACCUCACCAAAAAACAAUACGUCCGGUGAGAUUCAUUCAUAAUACUGAUUAACAUUUUGUUUUGAAGCCUUCGCCUAAGCGCUGGCCAAAAAAAAAAAAAUAUUUAUACAUUAGGAGCACUCCUGCACAGAUUUCUUGUCUCCUUCUUUCAAUCGCCCUCUCUUCCCCUCGGCAAAACUUGGGUCCAUCGCCAUAUUCGCCCACGUCUCACCGAGGUUUGGGAAACUUUGAUGGAGAAGCUGCCUUUUUCUAGAACUCAAUCCCUCGCGACAGUAAUGUUUUUUUUGUUUUUUUGCAAAAGAAAUAAAAAGCAACAAGGGAGCAAGGAAAGUGAAAUUGAGUGGGGUGGGAGAGCAGUGGGAAACCCUCCUCUUUCCCCCCCCGCCAUGGUGGCCGAUCCAGCCUGAAUUCCCCCUAGGCUAUUUGAAGUCCUCGAUGGCUAGCUUCCUUGCCUUCGCCAGUUUAUUUGUGAGUUCCUCCACGACGGCCUUCAAGAUCAUCCACCCUCGUGCUAGGCUUUGAAUCCAAUGCCUUCCUCGCUUGAGCUUCGGCCAACCGAUUUUCCGCCUUAACACUCGCUUUUGAGCUUUAAAAAAAACCAAUUUCAAGCUCGGCGGAAUCUGCGCUGCCAUAUGAAGUCUAGUCGUGGAAUGCUCCUGGCUACGGAGGGCAGAGAAGAGUCGAACUGACCAACUUCCAAAUACACUUAGUAUUUGUUAAAAGAAACAACGCCAAGUUUUUCCCUCCACAAAUACCCUGACCCAAGGCAUGGAAAGAUUUGGCGACCAAUUCAUUCUCGAUAGUCCAUCAACCUCUUUAUUUUCGAAGCCGGAAUCACCCCAGUGAGCACCUCCGACCAUAUAAGCAUCCGACAUAGAUUGGGAAUCCUAUAUCGCCACCAGGGGAAAGGUCCCCGCCUCAGCGGCACGCCCCCUGGCAUUGAUCGCCCCUCGGUUGGAUUUUUAAUCUUUUAGGCAGCGAUGGGGCUGCGUGCGGCUCUUUUUCCCUUCGAAGAGUCCGUCUCGCCUAUUCGUUACGAGGUCGCCUUCCCGCGUAUGUUCAUUUCUCCCGAAUCACGACUCCUUUGGUGGGAGCUUGGCGUCGUCAGCCUUUACACAGCUUCUCGGCCUUGGCCUUUCCUCCUGUUUUUUCCCCAAGCGGGGGCACCAGCUCGAGCCGAUAUAGCUGCACAUGGGAUGUCAAUAAGAAGAAAACAGUAAACAAUUUUUUCUAGAAUAUACCAUCAGAUUUGAGCUCGAGGGGUAGCUCGGAAUCUAAAUGAAUCCGACCCCGAAUCCGACUAGACCGGACGUCCCAGAUAGAGAUCCCGUAAACAGGCCCUUUCCCUUCCCCCUAGCACCUAAAAGGGUGUUUCCAUCGGGGAUACCAGGCAGGGCUCUCUAAUCACCCUUCCGAUACCCCGUCCUAUGACUCCCAGAUAUAGACCGAAUCUUCGCGGAACCGACUCACCCGAUUCGUGUUGUCUCCGCCACUGGUGAAAGCGCCGUGGCAACAACCGCGAAUUUUCUUGAAGGUUCGCGAACCCAGAACCUCGAAACCUCUAAGUAGCCUCUGGCUCUAUCUCCCGAAGAUCGCCCUCCGUCCUCUUGGCGUCAACCUCGGACAGGUCCGGCACUUGGUUGGCACUUUUCCCUGAAAAUCGCAUGUCAGGCGACUAUAAUGGCUCACAAUCAAAAACAAUAGGAACUACCUGGGUUCCCCAAUAUCUGGGGAUCGCGGGUACUAUCGCUGACGGCCGUGCCCGAGGGGAUCUCCCACUCAUCCCCUAGGGUAAAAAAGAACCUCGUCUUCCACCCCUUUACUUGCUCUGAAGAUCCUCGGAGCAGUUCUUCUCAAGCCCGCCUUAAAGUAGUACCACCCCAAUUCGGGUAGGAUCUGAGGGAGUAUAAGCACCUCAAUUCGUCACAGGACAUGUGAUGUUUGAAGUGCGCCAGAUCACUAGUGAAAGUGACUGAUCGCCAUGCGUUGGAGAUCACUGGGCGUGCAAAUUCUUGUAAUGAAUCAAAAUUUCCCAUAAUGGUCGGAUGAAGGGAAGGCCUUAAGCCGUCUAGAAAAGCGGCUCGUAAAAUCUACCUCGCCUUGGCGGCUGAUAAAUUGUCUCGCCAUCCCCAGAAUCUAAAGUCGUACCCCUGGGGAAAUAAACACGUCACUCCGAGAUUGGCCAUUUCAGCCUUGGCACAUGAUGUUAUUCUCCUUAUUGCGACUCGAGGUGUCCAUCUUUGGGAAAUUUGUUAUUAUUGAUGGAAACGACGGAGACUGGCUCGUUUCGUCGAUAUAAGACUGUCGCCCCUAGAUGGAUCGAUAUCCAAGAAGGCAGGGUUGCUCAAUUCUUCGCCUACGAGGGUUGGUCUGUGAGAACGUAACGGGACAGUCGACCUGUUUACACGAGAUGCAGUUUACAAACGGAGCGCACUUCGACAGCAACAGAAUGUGCGAAUGAAUAGGUUAACCCCCAUUUAUAUACACACGGGGAGGGCUUUGGAUCGAUCAGGCCCAACGGCCCAAAUCACGCGACUGUUCGAUUUCCGAAUGUAAAAACUGUCGUUCCCGCCAUUAGACCAUUUUCCCGCCGACUCAACCUUUCUGCAUUUACGUUCCCGUCCACGUGCCCUUAGAGUGAGUCCGUUGACAAAAACUCCACCUGGCCAGACCAUCAUUGCACAAACACGUCAACAUUGGUCAUGCGAACAGGCUGUGAUUCUCUGUGAUUAGAAACCAUCUUGAUGAAUGCCUACGUCGCUAUCGCGCAUUAAAAUUGUAACAUAUCUUACCCGGUAAAUCUGAUUACCUCUUAUUGCGGCUGAAGCUACUUGCUCACCCAAACGUGUUGCCUCGUGAACUACAAGUCCAACCAUGCCGCCCAAAUCUUAUAUCGCCCAAGGGUAAGAAGGUCCUAGUCGCCAGUUCGUUACAAACUACUUGAGGAAUCUUGAUCACCGUUACAGACUCGCCAUUAUGAGAGCGCCCAUUCAUUCCGCUAAGGAUCUUCAUCGCUAGUCGACGAUUUCGCCUAUAUAUCUCGUCGCCCAAAGCUUAUAUUGUUUAAGGUGUGAACGUUUUGAUCGCCCAUUUUCACCAUGAAUACGUAAUGCAUUAAGAUAAACGCAUCAUGCCAAAGUAAUUCAAGUCAAAAGGAAAAACGAAACAUAAGUUAGGAGAGAAUCAGCUUUUUAUUUAUCAUCGAAAGAUCCGGAUACAAAAUAACAAAAAAAAAAAAAUCCCAAGGGGAAUCCUUAAACAAACAGCUUCGCAAAAAAAAAAAAAAAAAAAAAAAAAAAAAAAAAAAAAAAAAAAAAAAAAAAAAAAAAAAAAAAAAAAAAAAAAAAAAAAAAAAAAAAAAAAAAAAAAAAAAAAAAUAACCCCCUCUACCCGGCUGCCCCUUUCUUCGGCCGCUCUUUUCUCCUGCUUCAGCCCCCUCUUUGGCGAGGAAUUCAUGGUCCAUCUCGCCGUCCUCCAGAUCGCGGCCAAGGUCAGGAACUGGGGCGCGAGCUGCCUCUUGCAGAAGUCAAAACCAUCGCCGAAAUAAGAGGAUGCCAGAAACCCCCCCUCCCGCUUCUAAAAAGUCAUCCACUCUUUGAACGUGGCGAUGAUCCUACCUUUCGUGAGAGACUGGCUUUUUUCCACGCCGGAGAUCUCGCCUCUAGCCUCGCGAUGACCUUGCCUCUGGCCUCGGCAUCUCAGCGAGCUUCUCCCUCGCCUUCUCCUCAGCCAAAGGCACCCUCGAAUUCAAUGCCCUAUUUGGCGCUCGAAACCAUUUUCCAUUUCGGCAAUUCAGCGACAGCCUUUUUGAUUGAGAGUGCACUCGCGAAAUCCCUGCUGCGAACGCUAGAGAAGACACCCCUAAGAUAACCCCCUGCUCAAACAGACUCGAAAUUACCGCACUGAAUAGAAUUGACAACACCUUUAGGGAAAAACAAAUACCUGGCCGAUCACAUGGAGAAACUUUGUCACCACCUGAUCGAAGGUGAGCCUAUCCACCUUCUCCUUAUCCGCCGGAGUAUCACCCCGGCCAGAAUUUUUUUCUGCUGUGGCGCACUGGCCAUCACUGAGCCUGUUGGCCCAAGUCUUCGCCAAGAGUUCGUCUGGCGCGAACUACCCUCUACGGAGCUGGGCGGCCUCACGGGAGCUUCAGACGUUCCGAGUAUCGAUUUUAGCCUCCUUUGACACUGGCAAUUGGGCGACCUUCUUUCCCUUGGACCCAUCGUCCAAGUCCUUUUACCGGUGUGGUCUCUUACCCUUCCGAGAUAACACGCCCUUGAAGCGGAGGUGGCGGGCCCUUGAGCACAACCUUGGCGAGGUCACUGAGCUUGAGUCCUUACCCUGCCGCUCACUGAUUAACAAGGCAUCCUAGAAGGGAGACGUCGGAAGCAGGUUCAGUAAUAUAAAUCGUGAGGUCAAAAAUUGCCGAAGGACAGGAGAGCCCCCUAUAUAUAGAGAGAAUCACGUUCCAAUCUACUCAGAAUAUGUUGCGAUGUGGGACGCUUCGACCAGAGUUCCGCAUUUAAGGCCUCCUUGCCACUGGGCUCCAUCGAUGUUGCCACCAUCAUUCAAGGUCACGUCAUCAGAAGAAUUACGUUUACUCGAAGUCCCAACUAUUCCACUCGACACUUCUAGUAAUGGGGCUACCUUUUUGAUGUGGGGUAAAAUAUUCACAUAUU